Molecule: unclassified non-coding RNA, 283 nt
Filed under: uncultured fungus
Lineage: Eukaryota; Fungi
Description: sequence contains ITS1
Source: RNAcentral
ACCACGCCGCCCGCCGGCCCAACGGUUGGAAAUUCCCGCUGCUGGGGCUACUUUCGCUCACAACUGUCUUCCGCUGAACGCGACCGCAACCGCCCACGAACCGACAUCUUUCGAUGCGAGGCUGGAGUGUAGUGGGGCGGCUUCAGUGGCGCAGAUUUCGCGAGCUGAUGAGCCAUCUGCGCGCCCGAGGCCUGACCCGAACAGCUCAGCUGGCUCUGAGUGCCUGGCGCGACAGAAACUUCGACCACAUCGGCGGGUUCGAUACCCGCACCUACGACGAUCU